AGAGUUUGAUCCUGGCUCAGAACGAACGCUGGCGGCAGGCCUCAAACAUGCAAGUCUAGGGGGUGUAGCAAUACAUCACCGGCGGACGGGUGCGUAACGCGUGGGAAUGUACCUAUUGGUUCGGAACAACUGAGGGAAACUUCAGCUAAUACCGGAUGAGCCCGAAAGGGGAAAGAUUUCUCGCCAAUGGAUCAGCCCGCGUCCGAUUAGCUAGUUGGUGGGGUAAUGGCCUACCAAGGCUACGAUCGGUAGCUGUUCUGAGAGGAAGAUCAGCCACACUGGGACUGAGACACGGCCCAGACUCCUACGGGAGGCAGCAGUUGGGAAUCUUGGACAAUGGGGGAAACCCUGAUCCAGCCAUGCCGCGUGAGUGAUGAAGGCCUUCGGGUUGUAAAACUCUUUCGACGGGGACGAUAAUGACGGUACCCGUAGAAGAAGCUCCGGCUAACUUCGUGCCAGCAGCCGCGGUAAUACGAAGGGGGCUAGCGUUGUUCGGAAUUACUGGGCGUAAAGCGCGCGCAGGCGGUCUUCCAAGUCAGUGGUGAAAGCCCGGAGCUCAACUCCGGAAUUGCCAUUGAAACUGUGAGACUGGAGUACGAGAGAGGUGAGUGGAAUUCCCAGUGUAGAGGUGAAAUUCGUAGAUAUUGGGAAGAACACCGGUGGCGAAGGCGGCUCACUGGCUCGUAACUGACGCUCAGGCGCGACAGCGUGGGGAUCAAACAGGAUUAGAUACCCUAGUAGUCC
This 744-nucleotide ribosomal RNA is filed under the name uncultured bacterium. Its description in RNAcentral is "bacterial SSU rRNA". It matches the Rfam family "Bacterial small subunit ribosomal RNA", at positions 8 to 796 of the family's 1533-position model. The record is from RNAcentral.